CCUACGGGUGGCAGCAGUGAGGAAUAUUGGUCAAUGGACGAAAGUCUGAACCAGCCAAGUAGCGUGAAGGAUGACUGCCCUCCGGGUUGUAAACUGCUUUUAUAAAGGAAUAAAACGAGGCUCGUGUGCCUCUUUUCGUGUACUUCAUGAAUAAAGAUCGGCUAAAACCGUGACCGCAGACGCGGUAAUACGGAGGAUGCGCGCGUUAUCCGGAUUUUUUGGGGUUAAAGGGAGCGUAGAUGGGUUGUUAAGUCAGUUGUGAAAGUUUUCGGCUCAACCGUAGAAUUGCAGUUGUUACUGGCAGUCUUGAGUGCACUUAGGGUUGGCGGAAUUCAUGGUGUAGCGGUGAAAUGCUUAGAUAUCACGAAGAACCCCGAUUGCGAAGGCAGGUUACUAAGCUGUGACUGACAUUGAGGCUCGAAAGUGUGGGUAUCAAACAGGAUUAGAUACCCGAGUAGUA
This 460-nucleotide ribosomal RNA is filed under the name uncultured bacterium. RNAcentral's name for it is "partial 16S ribosomal RNA". It matches the Rfam family "Bacterial small subunit ribosomal RNA", at positions 338 to 795 of the family's 1533-position model. The record is from RNAcentral.